RNA transcript from Rattus norvegicus (Norway rat), 775 nucleotides. It is a transcript of the gene named similar to Tetraspanin-7 (Tspan-7) (Transmembrane 4 superfamily member 2) (Cell surface glycoprotein A15) (T-cell acute lymphoblastic leukemia-associated antigen 1) (TALLA-1) (Membrane component, X chromosome, surface marker 1) (CD231 antigen)..., with no coding region annotated. The record is from RefSeq and is marked provisional. NCBI's taxonomy places the organism in Eukaryota, Metazoa, Chordata, Mammalia, Rodentia, Muridae. The transcript has a single exon.
AACUUGUAUGGGGCAGGCCCUGAGGAAGAGAGCUGUGCGAGCAGGGCAGAUGAGUUCUGUGUACUAAUGAUGUUCUUUGCAAGUCUUUCAGAGGGUGAAGUAGUUCUUGGAAACAGGCUUCUUACUCUUGGAGCAGGCUAUUUCUCUUGGAAGACUUUACACACCUCUUAUACCGUUGGGUCAUGAUGAUCCGGGACAGACAACAGGACAACCUUAUGCCAAUCAACUGGGAAAAUGUGGUUGUAAACAGCAUUCCAAUGAUGACUGCCAUGUUUGCCUCAAAGAAACCUAUCAUCAGAUCAUAGCAACCUCUCUUGUUAACUUUGGUGGCAGCUGUGGUCAGAUUGUGUAGAUCCGGGGGAUUACAGUCAGUUUCAUCCUUGCAGCAACUCUGGGGGAUACCAUGAUUCAGGAAGUAGGGGUUGUCGUUCCAGUCUUUGUAGUUCUUCACACCACAGCACAUCAGACCAUACUGCACCUGGUCCACUGCCUGACUCUUCUUAUCAUUGCCGUUAUAGUUCUGUAUAGCAUUGGUAUAAAUCUUCAGGAAUCUGUCCUUGAUCUCACGAUGAAGCAGAAGCCCUGAGAUGCUAGCAACAAGCUCAAUCAGGAACACCAGUGACAGAAACAGAGAAUACAACUUCAGCAUCCAUGGGCUACCUCUGCAUGAAGCAAAGCAUCCGAAUAAACCGAAAAUGAUAAUCAUGGUACCAAUUCCAAUGAGCACAAAGGGAAUGUCUGCAAUAUUCUUGGCAAGAAGAGAGAGAUACGUGCC